ACCAGACUCCUACGGGAGGCAGCAGUGGGGAAUAUUGCACAAUGGGGGGAACCCUGAUGCAGCGACGCCGCGUGAGUGAAGAAGUAUUUCGGUAUGUAAAGCUCUAUCAGCAGGGAAGAAAAUGACGGUACCUGACUAAGAAGCCCCGGCUAACUACGUGCCAGCAGCCGCGGUAAUACGUAGGGGGCAAGCGUUAUCCGGAUUUACUGGGUGUAAAGGGAGCGCAGACGGCUGUGCAAGUCUGGAGUGAAAGGCGGGGGCCCAACCCCCGGACUGCUCUGGAAACUGUAAAGCUGGAGUGCAGGAGAGGUAAGCGGAAUUCCUAGUGUAGCGGUGAAAUGCGUAGAUAUUAGGAGGAACACCAGUGGCGAAGGCGGCUUACUGGACUGCAACUGACGUUGAGGCUCGAAAGCGUGGGGAGCAAACAGGAUUAGAUACCCGCGUAAA
Molecule: ribosomal RNA, 447 nt
Filed under: uncultured bacterium
Lineage: Bacteria
Description: bacterial SSU rRNA
Rfam family: Bacterial small subunit ribosomal RNA
Source: RNAcentral